GUAGUCCACGCCGUAAACGAUGAAUGCUAGGUGUUAGGGGUUUCGAUACCCUUGGUGCCGAAGUUAACACAUUAAGCAUUCCGCCUGGGGAGUACGGUCGCAAGACUGAAACUCAAAGGAAUUGACGGGGACCCGCACAAGCAGUGGAGUAUGUGGUUUAAUUCGAAGCAACGCGAAGAACCUUACCAGGUCUUGACAUCCCAAUGCAAGCAUUAGAGAUAGUGCCCUUCUUCGGAACAUUGGAGACAGGUGGUGCAUGGUUGUCGUCAGCUCGUGUCGUGAGAUGUUGGGUUAAGUCCCGCAACGAGCGCAACCCUUGAUCUUAGUUGCCAGCACUUUAAGGUGGGCACUCUAGGAUGACUGCCGGUGACAAACCGGA
This 379-nucleotide ribosomal RNA is filed under the name uncultured bacterium. Its description in RNAcentral is "bacterial SSU rRNA". It matches the Rfam family "Bacterial small subunit ribosomal RNA", at positions 790 to 1167 of the family's 1533-position model. The record is from RNAcentral.